Molecule: transfer RNA, 87 nt
Filed under: Providencia huaxiensis
Lineage: Bacteria; Pseudomonadati; Pseudomonadota; Gammaproteobacteria; Enterobacterales; Morganellaceae
Description: tRNA-Leu
Rfam family: tRNA
About the family: Transfer RNA (tRNA) molecules are approximately 80 nucleotides in length. Their secondary structure includes four short double-helical elements and three loops (D, anti-codon, and T loops).
Source: RNAcentral
GCCCAGGUGGUGAAAUCGGUAGACACAAGGGAUUUAAAAUCCCUCGGCCUUUAUGCUGUGCGGGUUCAAGUCCCGCCCUGGGCACCA